This 253-nucleotide ribosomal RNA is filed under the name uncultured prokaryote. RNAcentral's name for it is "partial 16S ribosomal RNA". It matches the Rfam family "Bacterial small subunit ribosomal RNA", at positions 525 to 777 of the family's 1533-position model. The record is from RNAcentral.
ACGUAGGGGGCAAGCGUUGUCCGGAUUUACUGGGCGUAAAGCGCGCGUAGGCGGAACGUUAAGUCCGGUCUGAAAGCCCCCGGCUCAACCGGGGAGGGUGGCUGGAAACUGGCGUUCUUGAGGGCGAUAGAGAAGAGUGGAAUUCCUGGUGUAGUGGUGAAAUGCGUAGAGAUGCGGAGGAACACCAGUGGCGAAAGCGGUCACCUGGCGAACCCCUGACGCUCAGACACGAAAGCUAGGGGAGCGAACGGGA